RNAcentral lists this long non-coding RNA (678 nucleotides) under Homo sapiens (human). RNAcentral describes it as "HSALNT0100227". Lineage: Eukaryota; Metazoa; Chordata; Mammalia; Primates; Hominidae. The record is from RNAcentral.
UGGGCAGAGAGGUGACAGUGACUGUGCAACCCCUGAGGCAUGAGUGUUUCUGUGAUGUGAUGCUGUCACCCACAUGCAGGCCUGAGGAACCAAGGAGAGCCCUUGACAGCGGGCAGGAAGAGGAGGAGAAAGAAGUCUGAAUAGACAUCAGCUAGCAUGAAGAAAUCCCACAAAAACACAGUAUCAGAUAGCAUCAACUCAUGGAGAGUUUGAGUUUCAAAUCCACUCCUAGUUGCAAGGGCAGGAUCCACAGCCUGUUUAUCCGAGACUGCUCUGCACUUCCUGCUCAGAUUUGAGAGUUAGUUAUGUGGCCUGGAAACUUCUUUCUCUAAGCUAAACUCCUUUGGCAUGUGAUUUGCAUCCAGACAAGAGCUGAGCAGCUUAAAGUCCCAGGAACUCCUUCAGGGGCGCUUGGAUCUUAUUAGUGUCAUUGUGUCUGGAACAGGCUAACGCCUUUCCCAAGCACCCAGGGUACCCCAGGGAGUCUGAAUUUUCUCUGGAAAUGACCCCUUCAUUCUUUCCCAGCUUGAUCUUCAGUAGUCCCAGGGUGGCCGUGAGAGGGUAUUUGCUCCUCUCCUUCACUGGAAUUUCUCCUCCCGCUCACCAGAAAGAAGAAUGAGGAAGUGUACAUGACAGAUUCUCUGGGUCUGGCUUAUUUGUUCAAGGAACACAUUUGGG